This 482-nucleotide long non-coding RNA is filed under the name Arabidopsis lyrata. RNAcentral's name for it is "long non-coding RNA (ALYR_LNC001631)". The record is from RNAcentral. Lineage: Eukaryota; Viridiplantae; Streptophyta; Magnoliopsida; Brassicales; Brassicaceae.
GGUUGUAACUUGAUCUUUAUUGAUAACUAGAAAAAGUAUUACAACUCAAGUAACAUUUUUAACAAUCACACGAUCUAGAAUAUUUAAACAAACCGAACAGAUGUGAUGUGUAAAUGAAAGAACACAACUCUUAAUCUAAAAGACACAACCUUAAAACAGAGUAUUUGUGCCUCUUGAUCAAGUAACUAACUAAUGUGAAUAUAACUAACUUAUACGAGAUUUUGAUUAUAAUUCAACAUGCUUGACAACUACCCUGUAUAGCAACGGUGCAUCACCGUCUUAUCUGACGGAUGCGGUCUCCAAAGAAAUACCACCAAUAGAUCUUUAUCUUAUUUGGUGGGGCGACAUACACGCAUAUGUGCCUUUUUAUCAACAAUACCCUAGACGGAUGCGUUCACGGCUGCGUUCUAUUUAUAUGCUCUUCAGGAGCAAGAACCCUAAGCUCCUCAAGCUUGGGCUUCUAUUUACAACAGGUCCACGUG